RNAcentral lists this ribosomal RNA (389 nucleotides) under Pyramimonadales sp. Its description in RNAcentral is "partial small subunit ribosomal RNA". It matches the Rfam family "Eukaryotic small subunit ribosomal RNA", at positions 582 to 975 of the family's 1831-position model. Lineage: Eukaryota; Viridiplantae; Chlorophyta; Pyramimonadophyceae; Pyramimonadales. The record is from RNAcentral.
AUUCCAGCUCCAAUAGCGUAUAUUUAAGUUGUUGCAGUUAAAAAGCUCGUAGUUGGAUUUCGGAUGAAUGCGACCGGUCCGUCGUUUUGGUGUGCACUGGUUGCGUCCAUCUUGCUGUCGGGGACGCGCUCCUGGCCUUAACUGGCUGGGACGUGGAGUCGGCGAAGUUACUUUGAAAAAAUUAGAGUGUUCAAAGCAGGCCUACGCUCUGAAUACAUUAGCAUGGAAUAACGCGAUAGGACUCUGGUCUUAUUGUGUUGGUCUUCGAGACCGGAGUAAUGAUUAAGAGGGACAGUUGGGGGCAUUCGUAUUUCAUUGUCAGAGGUGAAAUCCUUGGAUUUAUGAAAGACGAACUUCUGCGAAAGCAUUUGCCAAGAAUGUUUUCAUCA